CUGGCGGCGUGCCUAACACAUGCAAGUCGAACGGAACUGCUUCGAAGGAGUUUCUUCGGAAUGACAUUGAUUCAGUUUAGUGGCGGACGGGUGAGUAACGCGUGAGUAACCUGCCUUCAAGAGGGGGAUAACAUUCUGAAAAGAAUGCUAAUACCGCAUGACAUAUGAUUGUCGCAUGGCAGACAUAUCAAAGAUUUAUCGCUUGAAGAUGGACUCGCGUCCGAUUAGUUAGUUGGUGAGGUAACGGCCCACCAAGACCGCGAUCGGUAGCCGGACUGAGAGGUUGAACGGCCACAUUGGGACUGAGACACGGCCCAGACUCCUACGGGAGGCAGCAGUGGGGAAUAUUGCACAAUGGAGGAAACUCUGAUGCAGCGACGCCGCGUGAGCGAUGAAGUAUUUCGGUAUGUAAAGCUCUAUCAGCAGGGAAGAUAAUGACGGUACCUGACUAAGAAGCUCCGGCUAAAUACGUG
Molecule: ribosomal RNA, 473 nt
Filed under: uncultured bacterium
Lineage: Bacteria
Description: bacterial SSU rRNA
Rfam family: Bacterial small subunit ribosomal RNA
Source: RNAcentral